AAUGCCUAGGAAUCUGCCUAGUGGUGGGGGAUAACGUUCGGAAACGGACGCUAAUACCGCAUACGUCCUACGGGAGAAAGCGGGGGAUCUUCGGACCUCGCGCCAUUAGAUGAGCCUAGGUCGGAUUAGCUAGUUGGUGGGGUAAAGGCUCACCAAGGCGACGAUCCGUAACUGGUCUGAGAGGAUGAUCAGUCACACUGGAACUGAGACACGGUCCAGACUCCUACGGGAGGCAGCAGUGGGGAAUAUUGGACAAUGGGCGAAAGCCUGAUCCAGCCAUGCCGCGUGUGUGAAGAAGGUCUUCGGAUUGUAAAGCACUUUAAGUUGGGAGGAAGGGCCGUAACCUAAUACGUUGCGGCUUUGACGUUACCGACAGAAUAAGCACCGGCUAACUCCGUGCCAGCAGCCGCGGUAAUACGAAGGGUGCAAGCGUUAAUCGGAAUUACUGGGCGUAAAGCGCGCGUAGGUGGUUCAGUAAGUUGGAUGUGAAAGCCCUGGGCUCAACCUGGGAACUGCAUCCAAAACUACUGAGCUAGAGUACGGUAGAGGGUAGUGGAAUUUCCUGUGUAGCGGUGAAAUGCGUAGAUAUAGGAAGG
RNAcentral lists this ribosomal RNA (596 nucleotides) under uncultured bacterium. Its description in RNAcentral is "bacterial SSU rRNA". It matches the Rfam family "Bacterial small subunit ribosomal RNA", at positions 112 to 704 of the family's 1533-position model. The record is from RNAcentral.